ACUUGAGAGUCGAGCGGGAUCAGGGGUAGCUUGCUACCCGCUGACGAGCGGCGGACGGGUGAGUAAUGCAUAGGAAUCUGCCCGGUAGUGGGGGAUAACCUGGGGAAACCCAGGCUAAUACCGCAUACGUCCUACGGGAGAAAGGGGGCUCCGGCUCCCGCUAUUGGAUGAGCCUAUGUCGGAUUAGCUAGUUGGUGAGGUAAAGGCUCACCAAGGCAACGAUCCGUAGCUGGUCUGAGAGGAUGAUCAGCCACAUCGGGACUGAGACACGGCCCGAACUCCUACGGGAGGCAGCAGUGGGGAAUAUUGGACAAUGGGGGCAACCCUGAUCCAGCCAUGCCGCGUGUGUGAAGAAGGCCCUCGGGUUGUAAAGCACUUUCAGCGAGGAAGAACGCCUAGUGGUUAAUACCCAUUAGGAAAGACAUCACUCGCAGAAGAAGCACCGGCUAACUCC
This 454-nucleotide ribosomal RNA is filed under the name Vreelandella zhaodongensis. Its description in RNAcentral is "bacterial SSU rRNA". It matches the Rfam family "Bacterial small subunit ribosomal RNA", at positions 53 to 504 of the family's 1533-position model. The record is from RNAcentral. Lineage: Bacteria; Pseudomonadati; Pseudomonadota; Gammaproteobacteria; Oceanospirillales; Halomonadaceae.